This 492-nucleotide ribosomal RNA is filed under the name uncultured bacterium. RNAcentral's name for it is "partial 16S ribosomal RNA". It matches the Rfam family "Bacterial small subunit ribosomal RNA", at positions 29 to 507 of the family's 1533-position model. The record is from RNAcentral.
AGUGAACGCUGGCGGUAGGCCUAACACAUGCAAGUCGAACGGCAGCACAGUAAGAUCUUGCUCUUACGGGUGGCGAGUGGCGGACGGGUGAGGAAUACAUCGGAAUCUACUUUUUCGUGGGGGAUAACGUAGGGAAACUUACGCUAAUACCGCAUACGUCCUACGGGUGAAAUCAGGGGUUCUUCGGACCUUUCGCGUUUGUAUGAGCCGAUGUCGGAUUAGCUAGUUGGCGGGGUAAAGGCCCACCAAGGCGACGAUCCGUAGCUGGUCUGAGAGGAUGAUCAGCAAAACUGGAACGGAGACACGGUCCAGACACCUACGGGAGGCAGCAGUGGGGAAUAUUGGACAAUGGGCGAAAGCCUGAUCCAGCCAUACCGCGUGGGUGAAGAAGGCCUUCGGGUUGUAAAGCCCUUUUGUUGGGAAAGAAAAGCAGCAGGUUAAUACCCCGCUGUUCUGACGGUACCCAAAGAAUAAGCACCGGCUAACUUCGUG